GCUCAUGUAACUCAAUUGGUAGAGUGAAAUACUGAAGAUAUUUUUGUUAUAAGUUCGAAUCUUAUCUUGGGCA
Molecule: transfer RNA, 73 nt
Rfam family: tRNA
About the family: Transfer RNA (tRNA) molecules are approximately 80 nucleotides in length.
Source: Rfam